RNAcentral lists this ribosomal RNA (274 nucleotides) under uncultured bacterium. RNAcentral describes it as "partial 16S ribosomal RNA". It matches the Rfam family "Bacterial small subunit ribosomal RNA", at positions 523 to 796 of the family's 1533-position model. The record is from RNAcentral.
AUACGGAGGGUGCAAGCGUUAAUCGGAAUUACUGGGCGUAAAGAGUACGUAGGUGGUUUGUUAAGUCAGGUGUGAAAGCCCCGGGCUCAACCUGGGAACUGCAUUUGAAACUGGCAAACUAGAGUAUGGUAGAGGGGGGUAGAAUUUCUAGUGUAGCGGUGAAAUGCGUAGAUAUUAGAAGGAAUACCAGUGGCGAAGGCGGCCCCCUGGACCAAUACUGACACUGAGGUACGAAAGCGUGGGUAGCGAACAGGAUUAGAAACCCUAGUAGUCC